UCCCUGGUGGCUUAGAUGGUAAAGCGUCUGCCUACAAUGUGGAAGACCCAGGUUUGAUCCCUGCGUUGGGAA
This 72-nucleotide transfer RNA is filed under the name Ovis aries (sheep). It matches the Rfam family "tRNA". From Rfam's summary of the family: Transfer RNA (tRNA) molecules are approximately 80 nucleotides in length. Their secondary structure includes four short double-helical elements and three loops (D, anti-codon, and T loops). The record is from Rfam by way of RNAcentral. Lineage: Eukaryota; Metazoa; Chordata; Mammalia; Artiodactyla; Bovidae.